Molecule: non-coding RNA, 944 nt
Organism: Chrysemys picta bellii (western painted turtle)
Lineage: Eukaryota; Metazoa; Chordata; Testudines; Emydidae
Source: RefSeq, a predicted model, not a curated record
UCUUGCUGGAGGCAGAGGUUAACAAGGUGACUCACAGUCCCGGAGUCAAGAACCAUCACAUCCACACUGAUCCUUUUAAACCUACUGGCUCAUUUUGCUACCAUUGACCAUAAGAUAUUGUUGACAUGGCUGCACAUCCUGCUAACAAUAGAUGGGGUCACUCUUGAAUAGCUCCUUUCUUUUUCCUCCUGGAAGAUUCAGAUGAUGUUAUGGGGUAAUCACUGAACUUCCCUUUUGCAUGGGGUCUCACCAGAUUCUGUCACUUCCCUUUUCUACAGUUAUAUAUGGGACUUUAGGAGAGAAAGUGGGGUGGGUAUGGGCUGUGGUGCUUCCAGUAUGUGCAUGACACUCAACAGGAUGUGUCUGAUACAAACACCAUUUCAGUCAUUGGAAGGAUUCUCUUUGACUUCUAUUGACACUGGAACAGGUGCUAAUUUUUUUGUCUCAUCUGAUACAGUUGGUGUAGCUGACUAAUUUCCAUGUUGGGAUCAGGAGCUGUAUGCAGAUCUGCAACAACCAGUCCAUAAACCUGUAAGACUCCAAACUUCAGAAGGCAGAACUUAAAUCAGCAUAGUAAUUGAGCAAAAACAUAUUUGAAAGCUGUGAUUUAACACUUUCACCACUGAAGGUUCAGAUAAAAUGCACUACAGUAAUCCAGUCAGUAAGUGAUAAACAUAUAGAUCAGUGUGUCCAGAUCCUUGAUAUAGAAGAAUCCCUUUUACCUUGUAGACCAAGGGUCCUAGCUAGGUAAAUAUAUGUUUACAAUGAUCAGUUCUCCAUUCUAUUAGAUUUUUCCGUGUUCCCUUUUAAUGCUUGGCUCACCUUUAGAGCAAUAUAACUUUCCUUAAUCUUCCCCCUCAAAAAUAUUUUAGACAUAAAAUCUUUGGCCUAACCUUUUAAAGUGCUGAACACCUGAAAUUCCUACUGAAUUUUGAUUAAUAGAU